AUCUACGGCCAUGCUACCCUAAACAAGCCCAAUCCCGUCUGAUCUCAGAAGCUAAGCAAGGUCGGGCCUGGUUAGUACUUCGAUGGGAGACCACCUAGGAAGACCAGGAGCUAUAAGCG
Molecule: ribosomal RNA, 119 nt
Filed under: Pteropus alecto (black flying fox)
Lineage: Eukaryota; Metazoa; Chordata; Mammalia; Chiroptera; Pteropodidae
Source: RNAcentral